CACGACCGAUGAGGGGGGGGGGGAGGAGAUGGUUGGUUUUGCACGGUGAGGGGGUGAUGAGAACGGUGGCAGGCGGUGUGGGUAGUAGGGUGGGGUAAGGUGGUUUGGUUGCAGGGGAGCUAGGUGGUUUUCGUGGAGGGGCAGAAGGAGCAGUAGUGAGGGGGCAUGCUCUGCCGCGCCAUUAAUUGUGGUGGUGGCAAGGAUAAGGAUGGGAAUGAGGUGGUAGAGAGGAUAGGGAGGAAAGGGGGGAUGGAUUCCUUGGGAGCCAAGGCGGCGAGAGGGGAUCCUCCGCAUCGGUGCAGCAGUGCUGGGUGAGGUGGCGCAUGGCGGCACGGAUGGGAUGCCGGCGACGGCGGCGGCGUUAACCGUGGGUGAGAGGGAACGGCCUCAUGGGCUAGUGAUGAGAACAUCACCUGCUCGGAUACAACCACAUUGGCAAAUUUUGAUUCAAAGGUGAAAAAAUACUUUAUCAAGAUUAUAUUUGAUACAUUUGAUGAAUUGAUGCUGCACCAUGAUGUGUGUUCAUUAUC
Molecule: long non-coding RNA, 530 nt
Filed under: Setaria viridis
Lineage: Eukaryota; Viridiplantae; Streptophyta; Magnoliopsida; Poales; Poaceae
Description: long non-coding RNA (SVIR_LNC005796)
Source: RNAcentral